UCGCCUGUUUACCAAAAACAUGGCUUCGCGUUAUUGUCAAAAUACGAAGUCGGACCUGCCCAGUGAGUUUUAAACGGCCGCGGUACUCUGACCGUGCAAAGGUAGCAUAAUCAUUUGCCUUAUAAUUGAAGGCUGGAAUGAAUGGUUUGACAAGAAUAUAUCUGUCUCUUUUAGACUACUUAGAACUUUAUUUUUGGAUGAAAAAGUCCAGAUAUGAUUAAAAGACAAGAAGACCCUAUCGAGCUUUAGAAAAAUUAAUAGACCUAAUACGUUCUAAUAUUGAUAAAAGAAGAGCUAUUAAAUACUUUGAUUGGGGCAAUCAAGGAGCAACUAAAGCCUCCUUUAAUAGUGCCUAAUACUUACCUGCAUUUGAUCCAAAAAUUUUGAUUAAAGAAAUUAGUUACCGUAGGGAUAACAGCAUUAUCUUUUUUAAGAGCCCAUAUCGAAAAAAAGGUUUGUGACCUCGAUGUUGGACCAGAAUAUCCUGAAGAUGCAGAAGUCUUUAAGGGUUGGUCUGUUCGACCAUUAAAAUUCUACGUGAUCUGAGUUCAGACCGG
RNAcentral lists this ribosomal RNA (557 nucleotides) under Conus muriculatus sugillatus. RNAcentral describes it as "partial 16S ribosomal RNA". It matches the Rfam family "Bacterial large subunit ribosomal RNA", at positions 1796 to 2619 of the family's 2925-position model. Lineage: Eukaryota; Metazoa; Mollusca; Gastropoda; Neogastropoda; Conidae. The record is from RNAcentral.